UUAUGCGAUACUUGGUGUGAAUUGCAGAAUCCCGUGAACCAUCGAGUCUUUGAACGCAAGUUUUAUGCGAUAUCUGGUGUGAAUUGCAGAAUUCAGCGGAAUCAUCGAAUCUUUGAACGCACAUUGCGCCCCUUGGUAUUCCGGGGGGCAUGCCUGUUCGAGCGUCAUUACAACCCUCAAGCUCUGCUUGGAAUUGGGCACCGUCCUCACUGCGGACGCGCCUCAAAGACCUCGGCGGUGGCUGUUCAGCCCUCAAGCGUAGUAGAAUACACCUCGCUUUGGAGCGGUUGGCGUCGCCCGCCGGACGAACCUUCUGAACUUUUCUCAAGGUUGACCUCGGAUCAGGUAGGGAUUCAUCCCGCUGAACUUAAGCAUAUCAAUAAGCGGAGGAAUGGCUCGUGGGACGCAGGCUCCCGCUCAUUACUUCAUACGAGAAG
RNAcentral lists this ribosomal RNA (437 nucleotides) under Lasiodiplodia sp. BAB-3186. RNAcentral's name for it is "eukaryotic LSU rRNA". The stretch from base 51 to 167 matches the Rfam family "5.8S ribosomal RNA", at positions 40 to 154 of the family's 154-position model. Lineage: Eukaryota; Fungi; Ascomycota; Dothideomycetes; Botryosphaeriales; Botryosphaeriaceae. The record is from RNAcentral.